This 774-nucleotide ribosomal RNA is filed under the name uncultured Neocallimastigales. Its description in RNAcentral is "partial large subunit ribosomal RNA". It matches the Rfam family "Eukaryotic large subunit ribosomal RNA", at positions 24 to 646 of the family's 3401-position model. Lineage: Eukaryota; Fungi; Neocallimastigomycota; Neocallimastigomycetes; Neocallimastigales. The record is from RNAcentral.
UAUGUGAUCGUCUCUCGCAUAUCAAUAAGCGGAGGAAAAGAAACUAACAAGGAUUCCCCUAGUAACGGCGAGUGAAGCGGGAAGAGCUCAAAUUUGAAAUCUUAAAGGGUUUCCCUUUACGAAUUGUAGUUUAAAGAAGUGUUUUCUGUUGAGGUUUUGGUAAAAGUUCUUUGGAAUAGGACAUCAUAGAGGGUGAGAAUCCCGUAUUUGACCUUUACUUUCAACUUUGUGAUACACUUUCAAAGAGUCGGAUUGUUUGGGAAUGCAGUCCAAAAUGGGUGGUAAAUUUCAUCUAAAGCUAAAUAUUGGCGAGAGACCGAUAGCGAACAAGUACCGUGAGGGAAAGAUGAAAAGAACUUUGAAAAGAGAGUUAAACAGUACGUGAAAUUGUCAAAAGGGAAGCGUUUGACACCAGUGUUGUUUUUCUGAAAAUCAAUUAAAGAACUGUUUAUGCUAAGUUGUUUAGACUUUAUCAGCUAACUGUUUAGUUUUGAGCUUUUCUUUAAUGCACUUUUCAGUUAACAAGUCAACAUCAAUUCCUUUUGCUGUAAAAAAGCUUGAGGAAGGUGGCUUGAGAUUCGUCUUAAGUGUUUAUAGCCUCUUGCCUAUGCAGUCGGAGAGAUUGAGGUCUGCAGCGUAGAUCCUUCGGGGCUAAAUGCAUUUGUGCUAAGUUAUAGCAUUUUAUAGACAACUUGUUGACUAUGAUUUGUCUUGUAGCUUACUCGCUUAUGUUAUUUUACCUACGCUUAGGAUGUUGACACACGCGCGUGCUCG